GGUUAAGCGACUAAGCGUACACGGUGGAUGCCCUGGCAGUCAGAGGCGAUGAAGGACGUGCUAAUCUGCGAUAAGCGUCGGUAAGGUGAUAUGAACCGUUAUAACCGGCGAUUUCCGAAUGGGGAAACCCAGUGUGAUUCGUCACACUAUCAUUAACUGAAUCCAUAGGUUAAUGAGGCGAACCGGGGGAACUGAAACAUCUAAGUACCCCGAGGAAAAGAAAUCAACCGAGAUUCCCCCAGUAGCGGCGAGCGAACGGGGAGCAGCCCAGAGCCUGAAUCAGUGUGUGUGUUAGUGGAAGCGUCUGGAAAGGCGCGCGAUACAGGGUGACAGCCCCGUACACAAAAAUGCACAUGCUGUGAGCUCGAUGAGUAGGGCGGGACACGUGGUAUCCUGUCUGAAUAUGGGGGGACCAUCCUCCAAGGCUAAAUACUCCUGACUGACCGAUAGUGAACCAGUACCGUGAGGGAAAGGCGAAAAGAACCCCGGCGAGGGGAGUGAAAAAGAACCUGAAACCGUGUACGUACAAGCAGUGGGAGCACGCUUAGGCGUGUGACUGCGUACCUUUUGUAUAAUGGGUCAGCGACUUAUAUUCUGUAGCAAGGUUAACCGAAUAGGGGAGCCGAAGGGAAACCGAGUCUUAACUGGGCGUUAAGUUGCAGGGUAUAGACCCGAAACCCGGUGAUCUAGCCAUGGGCAGGUUGAAGGUUGGGUAACACUAACUGGAGGACCGAACCGACUAAUGUUGAAAAAUUAGCGGAUGACUUGUGGCUGGGGGUGAAAGGCCAAUCAAACCGGGAGAUAGCUGGUUCUCCCCGAAAGCUAUUUAGGUAGCGCCUCGUGAAUUCAUCUCCGGGGGUAGAGCACUGUUUCGGCAAGGGGGUCAUCCCGACUUACCAACCCGAUGCAAACUGCGAAUACCGGAGAAUGUUAUCACGGGAGACACACGGCGGGUGCUAACGUCCGUCGUGAAGAGGGAAACAACCCAGACCGCCAGCUAAGGUCCCAAAGUCAUGGUUAAGUGGGAAACGAUGUGGGAAGGCCCAGACAGCCAGGAUGUUGGCUUAGAAGCAGCCAUCAUUUAAAGAAAGCGUAAUAGCUCACUGGUCGAGUCGGCCUGCGCGGAAGAUGUAACGGGGCUAAACCAUGCACCGAAGCUGCGGCAGCGACGCUGAUGCGUUGUUGGGUAGGGGAGCGUUCUGUAAGCCUGUGAAGGUGUGCUGUGAGGCAUGCUGGAGGUAUCAGAAGUGCGAAUGCUGACAUAAGUAACGAUAAAGCGGGUGAAAAGCCCGCUCGCCGGAAGACCAAGGGUUCCUGUCCAACGUUAAUCGGGGCAGGGUGAGUCGACCCCUAAGGCGAGGCCGAAAGGCGUAGUCGAUGGGAAACAGGUUAAUAUUCCUGUACUUGGUGUUACUGCGAAGGGGGGACGGAGAAGGCUAUGUUGGCCGGGCGACGGUUGUCCCGGUUUAAGCGUGUAGGCUGGUUUUCCAGGCAAAUCCGGAAAAUCAAGGCUGAGGCGUGAUGACGAGGCACUACGGUGCUGAAGCAACAAAUGCCCUGCUUCCAGGAAAAGCCUCUAAGCAUCAGGUAACAUCAAAUCGUACCCCAAACCGACACAGGUGGUCAGGUAGAGAAUACCAAGGCGCUUGAGAGAACUCGGGUGAAGGAACUAGGCAAAAUGGUGCCGUAACUUCGGGAGAAGGCACGCUGAUAUGUAGGUGAAGUCCCUCGCGGAUGGAGCUGAAAUCAGUCGAAGAUACCAGCUGGCUGCAACUGUUUAUUAAAAACACAGCACUGUGCAAACACGAAAGUGGACGUAUACGGUGUGACGCCUGCCCGGUGCCGGAAGGUUAAUUGAUGGGGUCAGCGCAAGCGAAGCUCUUGAUCGAAGCCCCGGUAAACGGCGGCCGUAACUAUAACGGUCCUAAGGUAGCGAAAUUCCUUGUCGGGUAAGUUCCGACCUGCACGAAUGGCGUAAUGAUGGCCAGGCUGUCUCCACCCGAGACUCAGUGAAAUUGAACUCGCUGUGAAGAUGCAGUGUACCCGCGGCAAGACGGAAAGACCCCGUGAACCUUUACUAUAGCUUGACACUGAACAUUGAGCCUUGAUGUGUAGGAUAGGUGGGAGGCUUAGAAGUGUGGACGCCAGUCUGCAUGGAGCCGACCUUGAAAUACCACCCUUUAAUGUUUGAUGUUCUAACGUUGACCCGUAAUCCGGGUUGCGGACAGUGUCUGGUGGGUAGUUUGACUGGGGCGGUCUCCUCCUAAAGAGUAACGGAGGAGCACGAAGGUUGGCUAAUCCUGGUCGGACAUCAGGAGGUUAGUGCAAUGGCAUAAGCCAGCUUGACUGCGAGCGUGACGGCGCGAGCAGGUGCGAAAGCAGGUCAUAGUGAUCCGGUGGUUCUGAAUGGAAGGGCCAUCGCUCAACGGAUAAAAGGUACUCCGGGGAUAACAGGCUGAUACCGCCCAAGAGUUCAUAUCGACGGCGGUGUUUGGCACCUCGAUGUCGGCUCAUCACAUCCUGGGGCUGAAGUAGGUCCCAAGGGUAUGGCUGUUCGCCAUUUAAAGUGGUACGCGAGCUGGGUUUAGAACGUCGUGAGACAGUUCGGUCCCUAUCUGCCGUGGGCGCUGGAGAACUGAGGGGGGCUGCUCCUAGUACGAGAGGACCGGAGUGGACGCAUCACUGGUGUUCGGGUUGUCAUGCCAAUGGCACUGCCCGGUAGCUAAAUGCGGAAGAGAUAAGUGCUGAAAGCAUCUAAGCACGAAACUUGCCCCGAGAUGAGUUCUCCCUGACCCUUUAAGGGUCCUGAAGGAACGUUGAAGACGACGACGUUGAUAGGCCGGGUGUGUAAGCGCAGCGAUGCGUUGAGCUAACCGGUACUAAUGAACCGUGAGGCUUAACCUU
This 2904-nucleotide ribosomal RNA is filed under the name Escherichia coli. RNAcentral's name for it is "23S ribosomal RNA". It matches the Rfam family "Bacterial large subunit ribosomal RNA". Lineage: Bacteria; Pseudomonadati; Pseudomonadota; Gammaproteobacteria; Enterobacterales; Enterobacteriaceae. The record is from RNAcentral.